This 292-nucleotide ribosomal RNA is filed under the name uncultured bacterium. Its description in RNAcentral is "partial 16S ribosomal RNA". It matches the Rfam family "Bacterial small subunit ribosomal RNA", at positions 29 to 334 of the family's 1533-position model. The record is from RNAcentral.
AAUGAACGCUGGCGGCAUGCCUAACACAUGCAAGUCGAACGAAGGCCCUAGCUUGCUAGGUGUCCUUAGUGGCGGACGGGUGAGUAACGCGUGGGAACCUGCCCUAGAGUGCGGAACAACAGUUGGAAACGACUGCUAAUACCGCAUAAUCCCUGAGGGGGAAAGGCUUCGGCCGCUCUUGGAUGGUCCCGCGUCUGAUUAGCUAGUUGGUAGGGUAAUGGCUUACCAAGGCGACGAUCAGUAGCUGGUUUGAGAGGAUGAUCAGCCACACUGGGACUGAGACACGGCCCAG